Molecule: ribosomal RNA, 1476 nt
Filed under: uncultured Bordetella sp.
Lineage: Bacteria; Pseudomonadati; Pseudomonadota; Betaproteobacteria; Burkholderiales; Alcaligenaceae
Description: partial 16S-23S ribosomal RNA intergenic spacer
Rfam family: Bacterial small subunit ribosomal RNA
Source: RNAcentral
GAGGGUUUCGAUUGCGCAGAGAUAAGAUUGAACGCUGGCGGGGGAUCUUACAUGCAAGUCGAACGGCAGCACGGACUUCGGUCUGGUGGCGAGUGGCGAACGGGUGAGUAAUGUAUCGGGUUGUGCCUAGUAGCGGGGGAUAACUACGCGAAAGCGUAGCUAAUACCGCAUACGCCCUUCGGGGGAAAGCGGGGGACCUUCGGGCCUCGCACUAUUAGAGCGGCCGAUAUCGGAUUGUGUGCUGGUUAAGCGGGAUAACGGCUCACAAGGCGGCGACGAUCCGUAACAGGUUUUGAGAGGACGACCAGCCACACGCGGGACGGACGGCCCAGACUCCUACGGGGAGCAGCAGUGGGGGUACUGGACAAUGGGGAAACCCUGAUCCAGCCAUCCCGCGUGUGCGAUGAAGGCCUUCGGGUUGCUAAGCGCACGCUGGCGGGAAAACGGCCUGGGAUAAUACCCCGUGCAACUGACCAGUACCUGCAGAAUGGCGCCGGCUACUGCGUGCCAGCAGCCGCGGUAAUACGUAGGGUGCAAGCGUUAAUCGGAAUUACUGGGCGUAAAGCGUGCGCAGGCGGUUCCGGAAGAAAGAUGGAUAUGCCAGAACCUUUGGAACUGCAUUUUUAACUGCCGAGCUAGAGUGUGUCAGAGGAGGGUGGGAAUUCCGCGUGUAGCAUUGAAAUGCGUAGAUAUGCGGAGGAACACCGAUGGCGAAGGCAGCCUCCUGGGAUAACACUGACGCUCAUGCACGAAAGCGUGGGAGCAAACAGGAUUGAAUACCCUGGUGGUCCGCCUUAUUCAACUGAUCGAACUGUUCUUGGGGCCUUCGGGCCUUGGUAGCGCAACUAACGCGUGAAGUUGACCGCCUGGAAGUACGGUCGCAAGAUUAAAACUCAAGGAAUUGACGGGGACCCGCAUUAAGCGGUGGAUGAUGGAUUAAUUCGAUUGUGUAAAAACGCCUACCCUUGACAUGUCUGGAGUCCCGAAGAGAUUUGGGGUGCUCGCAAGAGAACCGGAACACAGGUACUGCAAUGUCGUCAGCUCGUGUCGUGAAUGUUGGGUUAAGUCCGUAUGAGCGCAACCGCUGUGCAUUAGUUGCUACGAAAGGGCACUCUGAAUGAGACUGCCGGUGGAAACAAAACCGGAGGAAGGUGGGGAUGACGUCAAGUCCUCGCGGCCCCGCUAAGUGCAGAGACUUCACACGUCAUACAAUGGUCAGGAUGAAGGGUCGCCAAACACUUGAGGAGCCAAUCGAGAAACCCGAUCGUAGUCCGGAUCGCCAGUCUGCAACUCGACUGCGUGAGGUCGAAUCUUAGUAAUCACGCGGAUCAGCAUGUCGCGGUGAAUACGUUCCCGGGUCUUGUACACACCGCCCGUCACCAUGGGAGUGGGUUUUACCAGAAGUAGUUAGCCUAACCGUAAAGGAGGGCAUUACCACAGUAGGAUUCAUGACUGGGGUGAAGUCGUAACAGGUAA